GAUCCUGGCUCAGGACGAACGCUGGCGGCGUGCUUUAGGCAUGCAAGUCGAACGCGAAAGCCCCUUCGGGGGUGAGUAGAGUGGCGAACGGGUGAGUAACACGUGGGUAACCUGCCCCUCGCAGGGGGAUAACCGGGGGAAACCCCGGCUAAUACCCCGUACGCUUGCCGGGGCGUAUGCUCCGGCAAGGAAAGGUAGCUUCGGCCAUCCGGCGAGGGAGGGGCCCGCGGCCCAUUAGCUAGUUGGUGGGGUAACGGCCCACCAAGGCGACGAUGGGUAG
This 280-nucleotide ribosomal RNA is filed under the name uncultured bacterium. RNAcentral's name for it is "partial 16S ribosomal RNA". It matches the Rfam family "Bacterial small subunit ribosomal RNA", at positions 15 to 286 of the family's 1533-position model. The record is from RNAcentral.